UACGUAGGCGGUUUGGUCAGUUAGAUGUGAAAGCCCAGGGCUCAACCUUGGAAUUGCAUUUAAUACUGCCAGACUUGAGAUCGGAAGAGGAAAGCGGAAUUUCUAGUGUAGAGGUGAAAUUCGUAGAUAUUAGAAGGAACAUCAGAGGCGAAGGCGGCUUUCUGGUCCGAUACUGACGCUGAGGUACGAAAGCGUGGGGAGCAAACA
RNAcentral lists this ribosomal RNA (207 nucleotides) under uncultured bacterium. RNAcentral's name for it is "partial 16S ribosomal RNA". It matches the Rfam family "Bacterial small subunit ribosomal RNA", at positions 568 to 774 of the family's 1533-position model. The record is from RNAcentral.